This 253-nucleotide ribosomal RNA is filed under the name uncultured bacterium. RNAcentral's name for it is "partial 16S ribosomal RNA". It matches the Rfam family "Bacterial small subunit ribosomal RNA", at positions 524 to 776 of the family's 1533-position model. The record is from RNAcentral.
UACGUAGGGGGCAAGCGUUGUCCGGAUUUAUUGGGCGUAAAGAGCGUGUAGGCGGCCUGACAGGUCUGCUGUGAAAACUCGAGGCUCAACCUCGAGAUGUCGGCGGAAACCGUCUGGCUAGAGUCCGGAAGAGGAGAGUGGAAUUCCUGGUGUAGCGGUGAAAUGCGCAGAUAUCAGGAAGAACACCCGUGGCUAAGGCGGCUCUCUAGUACGGUACUGACGCUGAGACGCGAAAGCGUGGGGAGCGAACAGG